This 607-nucleotide long non-coding RNA is filed under the name Homo sapiens (human). RNAcentral's name for it is "HSALNT0056314". The record is from RNAcentral. Lineage: Eukaryota; Metazoa; Chordata; Mammalia; Primates; Hominidae.
UCCUAAAGGGAAAUAACUGAGUCCUUUGGAGCUGAAAAUGAAAAACUGAGUAGCUGGUGGAAGAAGCGAGAUGGGUUUGGAACUCACAGGCUAUGUUUCUGGAUGCAUCACAUUUGCAAGAGGGAAGUUUUGGUGUCCCUGUGGGUAUAUUAGCACUCCUUUACUCCAUUUCUCUGUAGCUACUCAAGCAAGUGACAAGUAAGUAUGUUGAGACCACAUGUGACAUAUAAAUUACAAGUUCUCCUGCCCCUCUAAAAGUUUAUUCAGCAUCAACCUUUGCACCAACACACUAAGGCAUAAUAGCUGAUAAUUUAUGAGUGUAAUUUGAAGGAAGCAAUUCUGUUUUGUGAUUAUGGUAGUAAAUAAAAGAUUCAAAUCCUCAUUGACACACCAUGAAAUUCAGCUUUACUUUUUUUUUUUUAACCUUGAUAUUGUUUAUGGAAAGAAGGCUGCAGAGUCCAAGAAAGGUGACAGAUAUGAAGAAAUGCAGUGGUUGCAAAGGACAAAGACAAUGGCAACACAAAUAAAAGAAAUUAUGAGAAGGAAAUAAAUAUUAAAAAAAAAACCCAAACGUUUGUUGAUGUAAACUGAAAAUAAAUUUGGAAUG